AUACUAGUGUCAGAAUGUUAUGAGUUGAUUUUAGGAGUCAAAUAUAGGGUUAUUCCUCUAGUAUU
RNAcentral lists this transfer RNA (65 nucleotides) under Aglaiogyrodactylus forficulatus. Its description in RNAcentral is "tRNA-Leu". Lineage: Eukaryota; Metazoa; Platyhelminthes; Monogenea; Gyrodactylidea; Oogyrodactylidae. The record is from RNAcentral.